CUCUCCGGCGACUCCUUUUUUUCCCUUCUGCCCCGUCUUCUUCUCAUUCUCCUCCGUCGCCGUCCCCCGGUUCCUCGCGAUGUUCCGAGUCUGAUCCUCUUUCUCUCGCUCGGCGCGAGUCCGCGUCGCGACAGGUUCGCCGGCCAGCGGCUCGUUAGACCGGCAGCUUCGCGCGGAUGCAGAUUUUCCGGAGGUUCGUCGGGGAAAUUCCGCUGGGCAGUCGGUUUUCCGGGAACCGCGCCGCGUCCGCCGGUCAGCGGAUCCUCCCGGUUUUCGCCGUUCGCGGAAUCUUUCGCGCGGACGGCCGAAAGCUGAUUCGGCGUGGGUCUGGGCGGAUCCGGACGGAAUCUGGGCUGGCGAUCGGCGGAAGUUUCGCGGCGGAUUUCGGCGGAAUCGCUCGUUAUCGGGGAAACUCGCGCGGCUGAACGGCAGCGAUGCUUUGGGAUUCUGUACGGUUGAUCUUGAUUUCUUUUUUAAUCGCCGAAUGGGUUCGGACUGUAGAGAAUGGGGAUUCUUGGGAGUUCGGGAAUGACUCGGUUCGGAGAUUCGGAAGUUCGAACUGCCGAAAGCGAUUCGAAGGGGCGAGAGGCGACGAGCGAGAGAGGGACUAGUUUCCGAGAAACGUAGCACGACGGAGUGAACGAUUCGCGAAAUCUAAGCAGAAAAUAUAGAAUAACAUUUUCUCUCCGCUUCGAAACGAUCGUGUUCGAAACACUGAGAACGAACCAAUACGUCUGUCCACGACACGCCAUUUCUACUAAAGAAUAUUCUACGUUUUUUACUUAUUUUUCCAUGCGCGUUUCACUCGUACAAUUUCAGGGACACAGGGUGAAUCGUUGAACCGCAAAAUCUCCUCGCGAACUGUUCGUGAUACACGAAAAAUGGUAUUCGAGACAUCAGUCGUACGGCUGCGAUCGAAAGUAGUCGAUCGGUUGGACAGCAAAUAAUUUAAGCGGUUCCCGCGCGACGAACAGUUCGCGAGGGAAUUUCGGCACAGUCGGGUGACCCACCCUGUACAUGCAUUUAUUGAUCGAGUCUAGGUUCGCUGCAAAACAGAAAUUGAGCCGCGGACGAGAGGAUACGCAACCGUGGAGCAGAAACCGGCGACCUCGGUCGAACCGUUUCGACCGGCGUUCAAAAUAACUCGAAAGCUAUCGAGUCAAGGUUGAACCGGAUCCAUUUAAACGCUCCCGAUACACACGUACAAAAAAGCGUGCGUGCGAGCGAGCGCGAGCGCGCGCGGUGCCGAUCGGCGACCGAAAACGUUUAAAAGCGUCGACCACGAAAACCGCUCGGGGAUUUCUGCGAACGUCUCGCCGGGACGGUCGUGCGUGUGUGGCCCGGUGGCAGCGCGCGGCGAGUUAAGCCGCGUUCCCAUGUGUGCGACGCGCGGCGCGAAAUUCUCUUACGGAACGAUUUAUCGGUUCCCCGAUCCCUCCCCGGUGUCCCGGGAUCCCGGGACGAGCGUCGUCUCGGAAUCGUUCGGGGAUGCGUUAUUAAAAUUAACAAACUUGUUGCUGGAAACGAGGGAGGACUUUGUAAAAUACGGGCACUCGCGUUCGAUGGCGUCGUUACUUACGCUGCACGGUUGUUUUGCAAAAAUAACGGGUCAUUACGCGGAGGACUUGUUUUAUAGGGAUUUUAUAGGUCGUUCCGCGGAGACUUGUUUCGCGAAAGUAAGGGCUAUUUGCAUGGGGACUCGUUCGGCGUAAGUAAGAGAUGAUUACACGGAGACAAAUCGUACCGCACGAGAGGUUUUAUGAAAAGAGAGAUUUACGAAGGGAGUGUUUCGGAUACCGGGAGGGUUAAUCGGGAAAUCGUGUAUACUCGGCUGUGAACACGCCUUUGACCAAUUUUUAGUCAUUACAGCGUGUCGUUUCUUUUAUUCGUUCUCGGACCCCUCCUUUUUAUCGUGGAGUUUUAUCUGUCCGUUAAUCUGUCCUCAAUUGCCGAAAUAUCGGGUUUCCGUUUAUAUUGCCGGUUAAUUAAUUUUUGCGGCCGGCGCGGAUCGGAUCGGAUCGGAUCGGAUCGAAUGGUUUUUGAUCAUCGGCAGUUACUUAUCGGGUUCGCCGGCUCGUUAAUUGGCUGUCGUGAGCGCUAAUUAACGGCUGAAUUACACGGUUAACAGGUUAACGGCGAAGAAGAGAGGUUCACGGGGGCCCGCCGAUAACGCGCGUGGGAACGGGGCUUAAGGAAACACGAACGGAUGUUGCACAGACUGACGGAAGAAUUUCCUGUCUCUAACCCCUUUGCGAUUGUAAUAUAGCUCCGUGUAUCGAUUACGACGACAGGAAUUGUUUCUUCUCAUCUUCCUUUUUUGUUUCUCUUUUCUUUUUCGUAUAGGAUCUUUCUACCUACGUAUACAUAGGGUUGAAUAAAUGAUUGGAUACCAAUGAACAGUUCUCUUUAUUCAGUCACAUCUCGGUACACUUAAGAACCUUACACAAUCGUUACGCGCACGUCCUCCUCGGUAUUCGAAUUGAAUAAAAAAUAAAAAACAGUUGAAUACAGGCUAAUUAUUAUUCUUCAUUCACCGUCGGAAUUUACUGCGAGGUAUUUACAUGAACAUUCGAGUAACGCUUAUUAGUAUACAGUCCUGGGAGCGAAGCUUAACGAUAAGACGGGCAUAAUUGUCGGAUAAACCGAGAACCGCUGGCUUAGUACAAAGUGGAGGCUAUAAAAUAUUUUAUUGAUGCCGAACAGUGUAUUACAUUAAGGAACAAGUGUUAUCGUGUUCCUCUCUUUAAACCAGAUACGCUCGGACACCGUUCAUUUUGUUAUUCUCUCGAAAUAACGUCCGCGCUUUACAGCCUCCAGUCCGCGAAUAACAGCCGUCGAUUAAUAUUAUUCGCGUUACGCUCGACCGUAAUAAAAGUACAAUCAGCUUAGAAUCAUCCUUCUGCAAACACGAUAAGCGUAUCUGGAUUAGUCAUCGCCUCGACUUCCACGCCAGCGUUUAACGACGCAUCGUUGACCUCGCCGACUAUCGUUCGAAAAAUUCGACUCUGUAAUUACCUAUCCGUCGAACUCUACGGUAGGAACUCGAUCGUUCACAGCGGCGGGCGGAAUUCGAAACCAUCAGGAUCAUCAGCUCGCAAAGUUUCCGCCGCGCUCGAUCGCGAAGGGCUCGACCGAUUCCCAAGCGCGAAGCGACCUUUGAGAUCUCCGCGCGGUUGAGCACCGCUGCGUCGCUUAUCGUCACACGAGAACAAGUCCGCGCCGCGCUCGAGUUUCUCGCGUGUAAGUUACGUCGAGGUUCGUCCAGUUAUCGACGAGCGUAACGUUUCACGACCAAGCACCGGCGUCUCCCUAAAGCUACGUGCACAAUUGCAAUAUUUAUAAAAAUACAACGCUCUUUCCGUCGGAGCGUCGCUCGCUCGCGCGCUCGUUUCCCGGAUAACCAGUGAUUUACCCUUUCGACAAACUUACUCGCGUGUUUUAUACAUAUCUCUUUUUUAUUUACACGUGUAGAACAUCGAUCGUUGUUCCGGCCGGCAAGGGGAAACGACGCAGAACCUUCUCGCUCGUCGAUUUCUCGCGAAUAAUUGCGGAUACACGCGGCCGAGAAUCCGCGCGCCUUUGAUUUCACGCCUCGUUACCGCCGCUCGAAUUAUUCCACGUUGCUGGAUUAAUGGCGUUUCCUUUCCGCGAUUCUUGUCUCGGACGCUCGCCUCGUCUCAUUGGCAAUAGGAAAAUGCUCCGCGAAGUUUUCCUUAACCGCGCCGUGACUUGGAGUCUGAAUUUCAAUUUACCAAGGUUCGUUUGAUUCGGGAUUAAUAGAACGAUUAGUCUCUCGAGGAAACUUCUUAUUCUGAUUUCACACUGUAUAUACUUAUUCCUUCAGUGACGCAAUUGUCCUUAUUGUGUCAGCGAUACGAUGACAAUUCCAAGGAACUCGUAGCACGUAAUCGUUCUAUCGUCUACACUUUUCUACCAAUCGAAUGUUUCGCAAUGAUAGUUACUCUAGCAGACUCAGAACAAACGUCUCCUCCCCUUUUUUACAUCUCUCCUCUACACUCUCAUUAAUACCAUCGAGCCCGUCAGCGACGAGAGGAUCAAGAAAAACACAUCAGAGUGCAACCAGGACUCUCGCAGGAUCACAAGCGACCGAAUUGCUCAGACGAAUUAAGAGACAAGCGAUUAUAUUUCUAACAAUAUAUUGAGAGAGAAAAAAAGUAGAAAGAGCUUCGAGUUGGCGGAACAAGAGGUCCGGAUUAGAGUCGAAGGCGAUCUCGGGGAAUUUCCUGGACGAUCGGAUCUCGCACCUUCGACCGGCCGUCUAUUUUAAGCGGGGCCGAUUCGGCCGCUAUCCGAUUAAUUAAUACGCGGGGCCUUAUGCAAGCUUGAUGUUCGGGUGACUCAAAGGAAUUUCCCCGGGACGCGUUCGCUCUCUCGCGGUGAAAACCGGCGGGAGAAACGGACGAGACCGAACCGAGCGCGCAACCGGUUCGGGCGCGAGCGCGCAUCUCGUGGAUUUUAUUAACAGUACAAAUAACAGUCGACGACGAGCCUGCAGAACUGUCUCCAGAAGAAACCGCGAGAUUGGCCUGUAAAUGACGCUUAGACGGCACGGUAGACGCGAGAAAUAAAACACUUUUACGAACA
Nomia melanderi (Alkali bee) is the source of this 4605-nucleotide non-coding RNA. The record is from RefSeq and is a predicted model, not a curated record. NCBI's taxonomy places the organism in Eukaryota, Metazoa, Arthropoda, Insecta, Hymenoptera, Halictidae.